AUGCUCAUGAUGCUACGCCAGCCUGCAGGUGGUCCCCUGGGGCCUGGCCACCAAAGACGUUGUGUGAUCAUGGCAACUCAGGGGCUACAAGAUAGUGGAAUUAAUGAAUGGUAAAAAAAAAAAUGUAUAGGCUAGUAUCUAGAAUCUAGAUCCUAGAUGACAUUGGGAAUUUGAUUAGGGUACUAGGUCUGGUUUACCAUGAAUAAUACUCAGUUUUCCUUUUAAUUGGCAGGAUUCCAGGACCAAAACCCCUCACCACCAACUGUUUAGUCUGGCUAUAAGAAAAUGGAUACAUUUUAUUCUGAAAAAGACCAGGAGUCAUGCCCUUGUGACCUUGAGACUGCACUCAGGCAGCGUGCAGUGCAGCAGGGAGUCUUCUCCAGCCCCAUCAACUGGUGAGCACUUUCUUGCUUGGGGUGCAGGAGAGAGUAGUUGGCCAGCAUAUCAAGGACUAUUAGUUGGAGCAGGAGGAGUUGGAGCUACCUAAUGGAGCUGCAAAAGAUCUGAGGCCCUUGCACAUGCAGGUAGUACCCAGUCUUUCUCUAAGGUCCAAAGUCAAAUAGAAGAUGAUCCACUCCUCCCUAUUAUCUGACGUCUGUUUCACACGGUGUCUUGUUUUGUUUUUGCUUUAUUUUUACAUUAAAAUAACUCAGAGAAUUCACUCUGAUCUGAUUUUACAGAGAAAUAAAUGGGAAUAGAAAGAAACA
This 707-nucleotide long non-coding RNA is filed under the name Sus scrofa (pig). RNAcentral's name for it is "lncRNA (ENSSSCG00030028418.1)". Lineage: Eukaryota; Metazoa; Chordata; Mammalia; Artiodactyla; Suidae. The record is from RNAcentral.